RNAcentral lists this long non-coding RNA (615 nucleotides) under Chinchilla lanigera (long-tailed chinchilla). RNAcentral describes it as "lncRNA (ENSCLAG00000027141.1)". The record is from RNAcentral. Lineage: Eukaryota; Metazoa; Chordata; Mammalia; Rodentia; Chinchillidae.
AUGCAAAAAGUUCUAAAAAUUAUCAAAAUGCUCUUUAUUGAAGUUUUUUCUUUUUCCACUGACCCAUGGGAUGUAUUAAAAGUGGACAAAUGGGCCUAUUUCCUGAUAGGAAGAGUAACCAAGAAGACCAUCUGCAAGAACAAGGGUGUGAGGUCAAAUUCCAAUAAAAUAAUGCAAAGAGAGAAACCCUCACCUAAAUCUCUGUCUAAAUCAUGUAUCAUCAAUCAUCAAUCGACACUGCGCUGGGUACUAGCUUGUGUGCUGCGCCUUUUGAGGAUUCAGAGAGUAUGGGAUAUAAAGGAAUGUCAAGGGAUUUGGAGGACCAUGUCUCACAUCCAGCUCACUAAGGACCCUAUCAUGAACUACGUGUCUGUACAACUGUUGAAAAUAACCGAAUGAUUAGAAAAGAGCAGAAGAAUGGCAUCUAAUAGCAACCCCCUGGAUAGGCUGACCGAUUCAACAUCCUGUGAUUAACAAAGUACCCUGCAGAUUGUGUGUGAAAACUAGCUAUUUAAUCAUAGCCAUGCUGCAGCACACAAGUGAUGGGCUAUCUACACAAGAAGAGUUUUGAACUAUGGACUAAUUUUCGUCUUUUGGUUUUGAUGGGAAUACCAC